AACGAACGCUGGCGGCAUGCCUAACACAUGCAAGUCGAACGAGACCUUCGGGUCUAGUGGCGCAUGGGUGCGUAACGCGUGGGAACCUGCCUUUAGGUUCGGAAUAACUCAGAGAAAUUUGAGCUAAUACCGGAUGAUGUCUUCGGACCAAAGAUUUAUCGCCUUUAGAUGGGCCCGCGUUGGAUUAGCUAGUUGGUGGGGUAAAGGCCUACCAAGGCGACGAUCCAUAGCUGGUCUGAGAGGAUGAUCAGCCACACUGGGACUGAGACACGGCCCAGACUCCUACGGGAGGCAGCAGUGGGGAAUAUUGGACAAUGGGCGAAAGCCUGAUCCAGCAAUGCCGCGUGAGUGAUGAAGGCCUUAGGGUUGUAAAGCUCUUUUACCCGAGAUGAUAAUGACAGUAUCGGGAGAAUAAGCGCCGGCUAACUCCGUG
This 433-nucleotide ribosomal RNA is filed under the name uncultured bacterium. RNAcentral describes it as "partial 16S ribosomal RNA". It matches the Rfam family "Bacterial small subunit ribosomal RNA", at positions 29 to 507 of the family's 1533-position model. The record is from RNAcentral.